GCACUUGUAGCUCAGCUUGGAUAGAGCACGACACUCCUAAUGUCGGGGUCGGGGGUUCAAAUCCUCCCAAGUGCA
Molecule: transfer RNA, 75 nt
Filed under: Candidatus Woesearchaeota archaeon
Lineage: Archaea; Nanobdellati; Candidatus Woesearchaeota
Description: tRNA-Arg
Rfam family: tRNA
About the family: Transfer RNA (tRNA) molecules are approximately 80 nucleotides in length. Their secondary structure includes four short double-helical elements and three loops (D, anti-codon, and T loops). Further hydrogen bonds mediate the characteristic L-shaped molecular structure. tRNAs have two regions of fundamental functional importance: the anti-codon, which is responsible for specific mRNA codon recognition, and the 3' end, to which the tRNAs corresponding amino acid is attached (by aminoacyl-tRNA synthetases). tRNAs cope with the degeneracy of the genetic code in two manners: having more than one tRNA (with a specific anti-codon) for a particular amino acid; and 'wobble' base-pairing, i.e. permitting non-standard base-pairing at the 3rd anti-codon position.
Source: RNAcentral